AUUCGAUUCCGUAAGUAGCGGCGAGCGAACGCGGAUUAGCCCAAACCAAUAAAGUUUUCUUUAUUGGGGUUGCGGACAUAUCAUAACGAAGAGGUAUCGUAAUUGAAGAGGUUUGGAAAGACUCACCACAGAAGGUAAUAGUCCUGUAUGUUAAACGAGAAGACUUCAGAUAUGAUCCAGAGUACCACGGGACACGUGAAACCCUGUGGGAAGCAGGAGGGA
RNAcentral lists this ribosomal RNA (222 nucleotides) under Clostridioides difficile. RNAcentral describes it as "partial 23S ribosomal RNA". It matches the Rfam family "Bacterial large subunit ribosomal RNA", at positions 229 to 452 of the family's 2925-position model. Lineage: Bacteria; Bacillati; Bacillota; Clostridia; Peptostreptococcales; Peptostreptococcaceae. The record is from RNAcentral.